RNAcentral lists this non-coding RNA (553 nucleotides) under Pan troglodytes (chimpanzee). The record is from RNAcentral. Lineage: Eukaryota; Metazoa; Chordata; Mammalia; Primates; Hominidae.
AAUUUUGGCCUGCAAAGACUUCCUUCUCUCGCCUCUACUACCCAACUCCUGUGAGGGACUCAGGCAUAGUUCGGGCGGAGGCAGAAAGAGCGAGCGCGCGAAGAACUUCGGUAUCGAGGGAGAGCGCUUGUGACGCUACGAACCUCUCGAACACCUGACGACUGGGCGCCAGGGCCGGAUGGAGGGUGGAGAGCCAGUGCGGCGCAGCGGCCUCCUCUUAACGGGGACACCUUGCAGGAAUGUGCGGAGUGGAGCUAACGGGAGCGGAUAGAAACCGAGGGAGGGGAAGAGAGCGCGAAGGCUUGGCCGGAAGGAGAGGUUAAAAAGGAAAGGCCUAAAAUGAGGAAGAGAGUUACCACAACAAGCAGUACCUAGUUCCAGUUCUUGGUCCCAGGAGUUUGUGGUUGUUGCUGCUUUCAUCUUCCUCAGCCAACACAAAAGGAAAGUGCCAAGGGGCGAUUCCUAGGACCUUCAGUGCAGUCUCCACCUUGCGGACUUGGCUCGUUUGUGUCCACUCCUUUCUCCAGCCUUUUACACUUGAUGCUCUUGGAUG